RNAcentral lists this ribosomal RNA (1423 nucleotides) under Microbacterium testaceum. RNAcentral's name for it is "bacterial SSU rRNA". The record is from RNAcentral. Lineage: Bacteria; Bacillati; Actinomycetota; Actinomycetes; Micrococcales; Microbacteriaceae.
UUGCGGCGUGCUUACCUGCAAGUCGAACGGUGAAGCCAAGCUUGCUUGGUGGAUCAGUGGCGAACGGGUGAGUAACACGUGAGCAACCUGCCCUGGACUCUGGGAUAAGCGCUGGAAACGGCGUCUAAUACUGGAUAUGAGCUCUCAUCGCAUGGUGGGGGUUGGAAAGAUUUUUCGGUCUGGGAUGGGCUCGCGGCCUAUCAGCUUGUUGGUGAGGUAAUGGCUCACCAAGGCGUCGACGGGUAGCCGGCCUGAGAGGGUGACCGGCCACACUGGGACUGAGACACGGCCCAGACUCCUACGGGAGGCAGCAGUGGGGAAUAUUGCACAAUGGGCGGAAGCCUGAUGCAGCAACGCCGCGUGAGGGAUGACGGCCUUCGGGUUGUAAACCUCUUUUAGCAGGGAAGAAGCGAGAGUGACGGUACCUGCAGAAAAAGCGCCGGCUAACUACGUGCCAGCAGCCGCGGUAAUACGUAGGGCGCAAGCGUUAUCCGGAAUUAUUGGGCGUAAAGAGCUCGUAGGCGGUUUGUCGCGUCUGCUGUGAAAUCCCGAGGCUCAACCUCGGGCCUGCAGUGGGUACGGGCAGACUAGAGUGCGGUAGGGGAGAUUGGAAUUCCUGGUGUAGCGGUGGAAUGCGCAGAUAUCAGGAGGAACACCGAUGGCGAAGGCAGAUCUCUGGGCCGUAACUGACGCUGAGGAGCGAAAGGGUGGGGAGCAAACAGGCUUAGAUACCCUGGUAGUCCACCCCGUAAACGUUGGGAACUAGUUGUGGGGACCAUUCCACGGUUUCCGUGACGCAGCUAACGCAUUAAGUUCCCCGCCUGGKGAGUACGGCCGCAAGGCUAAAACUCAAAGGAAUUGACGGGGACCCGCACAAGCGGCGGAGCAUGCGGAUUAAUUCGAUGCAACGCGAAGAACCUUACCAAGGCUUGACAUAUACGAGAACGGGCCAGAAAUGGUCAACUCUUUGGACACUCGUAAACAGGUGGUGCAUGGUUGUCGUCAGCUCGUGUCGUGAGAUGUUGGGUUAAGUCCCGCAACGAGCGCAACCCUCGUUCUAUGUUGCCAGCACGUAAUGGUGGGAACUCAUGGGAUACUGCCGGGGUCAACUCGGAGGAAGGUGGGGAUGACGUCAAAUCAUCAUGCCCCUUAUGUCUUGGGCUUCACGCAUGCUACAAUGGCCGGUACAAAGGGCUGCAAUACCGUGAGGUGGAGCGAAUCCCAAAAAGCCGGUCCCAGUUCGGAUUGAGGUCUGCAACUCGACCUCAUGAAGUCGGAGUCGCUAGUAAUCGCAGAUCAGCAACGCUGCGGUGAAUACGUUCCCGGGUCUUGUACACACCGCCCGUCAAGUCAUGAAAGUCGGUAACACCUGAAGCCGGUGGCCCAACCCUUGUGGAGGGAGCCGUCGAAAAGGGGGAUUUAG